Non-coding RNA from Faecalibacterium prausnitzii SL3/3, 205 nucleotides. The record is from Rfam. Lineage: Bacteria; Bacillati; Bacillota; Clostridia; Eubacteriales; Oscillospiraceae.
GACUUCCUGCCCGGCUCGAUUUGUUGCGGUUUGUAUGAUCCUACUAAUCAUUCAACGGGAGCCCGGAGUUCUCCGGUGGAUUGCAGACCUCCCCGCCAUGGGUCGACCAUGGAGGCUCGAUGAGGAAGCGUGAUUCCGGAGACAGGGCACCCACCUGUCCGUAAGGGUAGGUUUGAUUGACCGCAGACGACCGGGCGGGAUCUUU